GAGAAACAAAAUAAAGAAAAUUUUCAUUUGAGGUUGAUUAUAUAAUUUAACUAGUUAGAGGUUGUUAAGCAGGUGGACAAGAUCAAUAAACCAAUUAUUCGUGGGUUGAAGUCCUAAGAACCGCAUGCUCCUUCCAUCCCAGAAACACAUGGGCAUGCCUAGCGAAAAAACAGCUUUGUUAGCUAUCUGGGUGCAAAAAGAAUUGUUCCAAUCUUUUUGGGCUUCCAUUCCAGUGCUAAAAUAUUCAGGAGAUGACAACCUACCAUCUCCUUAAGUGUUGGGCCUAUAGUGAGUACUCUCUUGCGUAACGAGUAACUAAUUUUUCAUAUUUUAGUUUCUAUAGUUAUCACGUAGAGCUAAGUCAAACUAUCUCAAGUUUGAUGGAAUUCGUUGAAGAAAAUAUUCAUAUCUACGAAACCAAGUAUGUAUGCCAAUAAAAUGUGUUUCAUGCCAAUAAAACCUGCCACAUUUCGAAACAUUGUAAGUUGUGUUGGCCAUAGUAACUUAUGCCGAAACCAUGUCUCUUCACGAAAAGACAGUUUUGUUAUCUCUCCUCAUAUCUUCUCUGCCAUACAUGCUAAAACUAUGUACUCCCUCCGUC
This 601-nucleotide long non-coding RNA is filed under the name Setaria viridis. Its description in RNAcentral is "long non-coding RNA (SVIR_LNC011051)". The record is from RNAcentral. Lineage: Eukaryota; Viridiplantae; Streptophyta; Magnoliopsida; Poales; Poaceae.